This 432-nucleotide ribosomal RNA is filed under the name uncultured bacterium. RNAcentral's name for it is "bacterial SSU rRNA". It matches the Rfam family "Bacterial small subunit ribosomal RNA", at positions 330 to 777 of the family's 1533-position model. The record is from RNAcentral.
ACCAGACUCCUACGGGAGGCAGCAGUGGGGAAUAUUGGACAAUGGGGGAAACCCUGAUCCAGCGACGCCGCGUGAGUGAAGAAGUAUUUCGGUAUGUAAAGCUCUAUCAGCAGGGAAGAAGAAAUGACGGUACCUGACUAAGAAGCCCCGGCUAACUACGUGCCAGCAGCCGCGGUAAUACGUAGGGGGCAAGCGUUAUCCGGAUUUACUGGGUGUAAAGGGAGCGUAGACGGUAAGGCAAGUCAGAUGUGAAAGCCCGGGGCUCAACCGCGGGACUGCAUUUGAAACUGUGUAGCUAGAGUGCAGGAGAGGUAAGUGGAAUUCCUAGCGUAGCGGUGAAAUGCGUAGAUAUUAGGAGGAACACCGGUGGCGAAGGCGGCUUACUGGACUGUAACUGGCGUUGAGGCUCGAAAGCGUGGGGAGCAAACAGGA